This 220-nucleotide unclassified non-coding RNA is filed under the name Hevea brasiliensis (rubber tree). The record is from RNAcentral. Lineage: Eukaryota; Viridiplantae; Streptophyta; Magnoliopsida; Malpighiales; Euphorbiaceae.
AUCAGACCGUAGCCACCCCUGGGGAGAGAAACAAGUGAAGGCCACGGCAUUUCAUUCUCUAAUAGCCAUAAAGGUAACAACCAUUAAUUUAACGCCGACUCAUCAUAUCUCUAUGAAACUUACUGCCGAAAGAUCUCUUAUAACUGCAACUUACUUGAAGGGUCAAGAUCUACCAAACAAACCGAACAAAAAACCAACUAUUAACACUCCAAUUAGAGAG